GCCUGGGUGGCUCAGUCGGUUGAGCAUCUGACUUCAGAUCAGGUCAUGAUCUCGCGGUUAGUGGGUUCGAGCCCCACAUCUGGCU
Molecule: transfer RNA, 85 nt
Filed under: Felis catus (domestic cat)
Lineage: Eukaryota; Metazoa; Chordata; Mammalia; Carnivora; Felidae
Rfam family: tRNA
About the family: Transfer RNA (tRNA) molecules are approximately 80 nucleotides in length.
Source: Rfam by way of RNAcentral